This 343-nucleotide long non-coding RNA is filed under the name Pongo abelii (Sumatran orangutan). RNAcentral describes it as "lincRNA". The record is from RNAcentral. Lineage: Eukaryota; Metazoa; Chordata; Mammalia; Primates; Hominidae.
CCCUGAGAUGGUCUUGGCCUGAGGACACUCACCUCUCUUUCCCCAGGAGUGUCUUUUAGGAAGAGAGACAAAUAGCCAGCAGUCCCACAGCGACUCAGGGGAGUGCCAGGGUUCAAAUCCUGCUCCUGCUAGAUGCCACUUCUGCUGCUCUUCAUUGCUGCCCUAGACAAGGCCAGGCCCUGCGGCAAGCUGCAAGUCUUCCUUCUGUUACCUUUACCAGCUCUACACUGUCAUUCACAGAUGAGAAAGCUGAGGAUCAGAGAGCUCACACAUUUCCCCCAAGGUUACACAGUCAGUAAGAGAUACUAUUAGGAUUCCAAUGACCUGCUCUUAAAGUUCAUCU